RNAcentral lists this long non-coding RNA (2988 nucleotides) under Meleagris gallopavo (turkey). RNAcentral describes it as "lncRNA (ENSMGAG00000022017.1)". Lineage: Eukaryota; Metazoa; Chordata; Aves; Galliformes; Phasianidae. The record is from RNAcentral.
AUGGUACGACUUUGGCUUCAUGCUUGGCACCCAGACACCUUUCACAUGCAGGAUUGCCAACAGUGGGACCAAGAGGACUUUCUCUUGGACUUCUUCCACUCUGGGGAGCUGAACACGAGGCAGUGCGCAGCCCUUGGUUCUCUCUGCAGAAACUUGAAGACUGCUGUGAGAGGGCCAGAUGGGAGUAAUCUUUUUGGGGAAAAGCAUGGAGGAAACAUGUGUGGAUGGCUUCCUUUCUGCUUUUGGAGGAGCCGUUCCUGGUGCCUGGUGGGGCUACCUCUGUGCUCCACCAGUUCUAUGGGUCCAUGGGCAGCCAGUGCUCCCACCAGGACCCAGGGCACGUGCUCAAGAAAGAAGGUGAAUGCAGCAGCCCUGCACAUCUGAGCAAUAAUGAAUUGCUGUCGUGAACGUCUGAAAGGAGAUAAAGCAGCAGCAAACUCUUCUCCCCUGUUGCAGAUAAACCACUAUUAACAGCCGAGGCUUUCUGGAAUGAAAAGGGUGACUCUCCAUUGAAAGCAGCGAUAAAUCCUGGCCAUCCUGCAUAAUCCAGUCCACCGUAUCGGGAAAUCUCAUGGGAGCUGGCAGCACUGAGAGCAGCAAGGUCUUUUCAUGCUACAGUUCUCCCGUGGAUGGAUAAUCUCCAUGGCCAACAACUGCAAAUGCUGGAGGUUGGAUCCUGAGUGCUAUUACCUCGGCUUUUACUCCCCUUCCUCCUCAGCAAAACCACUGCUGCCUUCUGCAGGAAGACAGGGUGUACCUGCAAACUUUGCCUGCAAAGGGGAUCACAGGGCUGCAUUCUGUAUCUGCGUGAGCAAGAAUAUCAUACAUCAUCUUCCUGCUGAUCUGGCAGUGCAAGCAGCCCUGCAAAGCAGCGAUUUAAUGCACUUCUCAGUGCUUGAGCUUUUCGUCUUGCUAUGCUUAACCUGAUAUAUUGUUAUUUGAUGCAGAACAGUAGGGGCAGGUACAAAGAGGUAGCAUGAAAAUAAAAGGUCAGCGGGUGCCAGGUGCAUGUAAAGGCUAAAUUGGUCUUUCAUCAAAUCUAAUAAAUAUGCCUUGUGAGUGGGGUGGGAAAUUCCUUUCCUGAAAUGCUGAACGGUGUCCCUUCCUCCAGAGCCUCAGCCCAGGGCUGUUGGAUGAAUCCAGGAUGGGGCUGCUCAGUGCAAGGGGACUGCAGUGACAGCCAAGGGAAGAGCCAGGCUCAGCCCCCACUGCGCAUGAGGCUGCAUUUUCCAAUGUUCCUAAAAAUAUUCCUGAGCCUCUAAGUGCAAAACUGGUGGUUUGGAUUUGGAAACCAAAAUGGAAACAGAUGAGCUGCAUCUCAUCUUGUUUUCUCACCUCCUCUCUUUUCUCUCUUCACUGGUUCCAGACUGGGGAGAGAAUGGCAAAGGAAUGACCAAAAAUGAAGAAAAACAAAACAAGGAAUCAUUUUUUCCCUUUUUUUCUUCCCCCCUCCCCCCCGUUUGAGAGGCUAUAAUGUUUUUAUAAGCAUAGAAAUCUGGGUGUGCUUCAUUUCUUUUCCUUAAAGGAUUAGGAAAUGGGAUACUUUGGCCCCUGAUUCUCCUCUGCCUCUCAUGGAGAAGUGAAAUCCAUCCAGGCUGCGUCCAGAAGCAUUUCAUGUUAUAACCUUUGCAGGCCUGGAGAAGCAGAGGCAGCAGGCAGAUCUUCCAGGUGCCUCCACUUCUGGGAUGUCCAUCCCUGGUCAGCUUAGGCUUGGUUUGCAGAGAGGCUUUGCGGCACAGAUGUGCCAGGCUCCAAACGAUGGAUGGAGGCCCUCAGGGUGCUCUGCGUGCCCAGAGGAACUCAGCAAGGUGCUGGGAUGUAACUCAGGGCCAUCCAUGGCUCUGCUGUGGUGCUGCUGCUCCAUCUGGAGAUGCUGGUGCUCAGCUUUGUGCUUGCAGGUACAUCAGUUUCUCACCUCUGGAAGGUGCUGUUGAGAUGCUCCUCAUCUCUGCCACACAUCCAAAGCCUCCACUUCCUCCCCCAUAUCUGCACUUGGCAGCUCCCUGCCCUCAGCACAAGAAACCUCUGGCCAUAGGAACCAGGCAGCAGAGUGAGAGGAGAGAGGAACAACACGAGACAAAUUCCCCAUUAAUUCAAGAGAUCAUUAUUAGCUGCUAAAACCAGGAGGGUGAGCUGUUUCGGGGCGUCAGCAGGAGUUAAAUCCUUGCUAUUGAUUCUCUCCCUGCACGGCCAUGCAUUACCAUGACUUACACCACCGAGGAGAAAUGGAAGUGGACGUGAAGCAAAAGUGGGGACGGGAGGGGAAUGUUUGCAUGCUUAAAAUAUUUAUGCCGCAAAUUAACAUGUGUUUUAAGCCUGCGAUUCUUCAAAUAUUUAUCCAGCAUGAAUAUUUUGAAAACUGCAUUAAAAUUUGCCACUGGUGCUUUAUUCAUUAGGGGUGUUCAGCAGCCACAGACAGUACUGCUUGCUAAAUCUGUAAUGCAUCCAUGCAGAGACAGCAUCUGGAGGAUGUUGCCUGAGCUGUGAGAAAGAGCUUUCUGCUCCUGCUUCCAAAGCGGGGAGCCUGGAAUGAGUUCCUUACCCACAUCGACUUCAGUUGUGACUGCAGAUGUCACAUUCAGCAGCACAAGCACCUGGUUUUGACCCAAGCAAAAAUAAUCUGAUGGGAGUGGGUGAGACCAGUGCUCCCAUAGGCACUGGGAAAGGGGAGUUAGGGACUGGGGGAGGCAGACCCAUGCAAUCCUGGUGGCUGCUGUGGGUCUGAUGGAACUGUGGGAGCAAACCAGGCUCUGCCAAGCACAAAGGCAAGAUGUUCCUUCUUGUAUAUGCCAGCCCCGUGCACAGAGGUUUUAUAAUGGGGAACAGGGGGUGGUCCACCCCAUAGCAGCUAUCGGGGCUAUUGCUAUGGCUUGAUAUCCAACAUUACAGCCUUCACUGGGGGGCACCAAAAUCCCUGCCCAUGUGCAGGGCAGAGCAGAAUAUGGGAUUUCAGCUGCUCACAAUCUUCCUGCUCUGCGCCCGCUGCUG